Molecule: long non-coding RNA, 1432 nt
Filed under: Homo sapiens (human)
Lineage: Eukaryota; Metazoa; Chordata; Mammalia; Primates; Hominidae
Description: HSALNT0368207
Source: RNAcentral
GAAAGGGGCGGGGCUUGCUGGGGUGGCUGGGCUGGACGGGUGACAGGCCUCGUAAAUCCCCUUUCCCAUGUUUAACACCAUUUCAUUUCUUUCCACUUGAUUCCAUUGGCAUCCAAGGCAGACGGGAGCGACCCUCGUGUCCUCGCUGUAAUAUCUUCUGGGCGAAGCCCUUUUGGGCCAAAGGGAAUUAGGCUGUGUGGGGCAGAGGAGUUGCUCCUGGGGAGGCCUAGAGGACCCGCAUUCCUCGGGGGGAUUCCUGUUGCCCCCACCCCCGCCCCAGAAGAAGAAACAGAAGGGGCUGAGAGACACAGAAAUGAGUUUGGCUUCGGAGGCCCUGCCCGAUUCUCUGGCCGUGGUAUGGCUGAGGGCUGGGCUGAGGAUCCCGUAACUGUCAAUUCCAGUACCAGCCUGGGCGAAGGCUGGGGAGAGCCACCCAGACUGAGUGUGGCGUCGCAGAGCCCUUUCCUGCCUUUCUUCUGCUCACCCAUGGCCACAGCUUUUUAUGGAUCAGGACUCCCCUCCCUGCCCUGCCUGGGCCGCAGCUUUAUUGCUGAGAUCUAGGGCUCUCUCCACGCAAUUUCACGCCUCUCUGCCUUUGCUCCCGCUGUUCCUCCAGCCAAAUGCCUUCCUCAUUGUCCCUGUCUUUCCACAACCUCCUUAUUCUUCAGGGCCCAACUCGGAUGCGCACCUCCUCCGCAUCACCUCCCCAGCCCCGAGCUUCUGUCACUUGCUCCUCCCUCCGUGGCCUGCACCUGUGCUCCCUUCCGCCUUUGUGGCGGGGUCCACUCAGGGCUUUGACUGAAAUGGAGCAUGUACUCCCUGGCCCUGCCCCCAGUGGGCUUGCCACAGGGCUUGACACCUUGUGGGUGCUCCAUAAAUAUUGGUUGGCUGAAUAAAAGGGGUUUUGUAAGGGCCUUUAGCCAGGCAGUCUGCAUAGCAUGGAAUCUGGCCACCUUCAGGGCCAAGUCCCAGGCAAAGAGGAGCCCCAGAUGCAGACCCAAGAGGAGACAGGCACUGGAAGGACCUCACCAGCCCCAGAUCACAGGGCCACCCCAAGUGGACAGAGGACAGUCCAUGGCGGCCUCCACUGAGCACCUGCGCCCUCCCCGCAGUGCCCAUCACUGAGUGCACAGGUGUGAGGCUGCGUUGUGUGCUAGAAACAGAGCCUCAGGGAGGGGAACUGACUUCAGACAGGGCAAAGCGCAGAGUCAACUGCAAAUCCCUGUUCCUCAAUGAAAAAGCAAGUCAUCUUUUUAAAAAGUAAUUGCUGACAAAAAGUCAUGACUAUCAUUAAAAAGUCCAGGUCAUCCUCGUUCCCAGUGGCCCUGCUCUUUCUACCACUGUGUGUCAGGGAAUGUUUUCUGAGGGAGGGGACUUUGGGAAGGAGCAGGUCAGGGUAGAGAGAGAGCUGCAGAAAGGGCUAGAGAGCCAC